This is a long non-coding RNA of Zonotrichia albicollis (white-throated sparrow), 1021 nucleotides long. The record is from Ensembl. NCBI's taxonomy places the organism in Eukaryota, Metazoa, Chordata, Aves, Passeriformes, Passerellidae.
CAGCCCUGAUGUCCCUCGGUGCUUUUCACUUCCCUCUGCAUGGAAACAUUAGUGGUUUGGGAUGGUGUGUGGUGCUGCCUGCUUUCUUCCUUGGCAACUGAUUGCUGCUCUUAAGCAGUGCACCAGAGCUGAUGCAUUGAUAUCAACAUGCACCAAGGAGCAGAUUUAUGCCACAGAACAUUUCCCAGGCAGCAGUGGCAUAGUGGCUGGAGGAGCACAGAUGAAUGAAAAAAGCUACACUGCACUACAAAGAUCUGAGCCUACCAUCACAAUAAUACUUGCUUUCACUGAAGACAUUCCACAAUACAUCCAGAGCAGGUGCAGACACAAUGUGAGUGAGGAGGAAAAGAAACAAAGCGUCACUAUCCUGGGUUUGGCUCUCCGGUACAGCCAGGACCAGUGUGGAGAUAUUUGGACAUAGAUUACCAAAACAUUUCACCAGAAGACAGAGUGGAGCAUUGCUAGUCUCAGGUUACUGUGGUGUGAUGAAAGCUGUGGGGUUGGCAGGACUGACCACAAGAAAGUCUUAGAGGAGGAUCUCUUUCCACACAACUCGCUGGCUCUUAUUUCCCAUCAGCAAUAUUGUGCCUUUGAACUAAAAUGCAAUAUACAUUGGAAUUUCAAAAUGGGAAGAGCAGUAGGAUCCUACAAGGAUCCCCUCACCCCUUCUAACAAUUCCACCUCUGAUUCUUUAGUAUUGAAAGUAACCCAUGGGACAAAAGGAAAAUGGAGAUCAUAGGUGAUGCUAAUCAUCUGUCUGUGGAUGCUUUACACAAGUAGGGUCAGGUCACACUGGAAAAAUAGCUCUUACAUAUGGCCUCUGUUGAAACAACAAGGUUAAUAACCAUAGAGUGUAUUUCAUGUAUCCCUUAAGCAGAUGAAAUAGACACAAACCCACACACUGUUCAGAUAAAACUUCUGUGCAAAUAUGGCCUCCUGUUCAGAAUGGUAUUUUGAAUAUGAUUAUUUAUUUAGACAAAUAUUUACAGUGCUAGUGAAUUCUGCAAAGAUCCUGUUGAAC